Molecule: unclassified non-coding RNA, 314 nt
Filed under: uncultured fungus
Lineage: Eukaryota; Fungi
Description: partial contains 5.8S ribosomal RNA and internal transcribed spacer 2
Rfam family: 5.8S ribosomal RNA (bases 1-133)
Source: RNAcentral
UGGUUCUGGCAUCGAUGAAGAACGCAGCGAAAUGCGAUAAGUAGUGUGAAUUGCAGAAUUCAGUGAAUCAUCGAAUCUUUGAACGCACAUUGCGCCCCUUGGUAUCCCGAGGGGCAUGCCUGUUCGAGCGUCAUUUCACCAUUCAAGCCUGGCUUGGUGUUGGGCGACGUCCCUUUCGGGGACGCGCUUCGAAAUGCUCGGCGGCGUGGCACCAGCUUUAAGCGUAGCAGAAUCUUUCGCUUUGAAAGUCGGGGCCCCGUCUGCCGGAAAACCUACUUAAGGUUGACCUCGGAUCAGGUAGGGAUACCCGCUGA